This 333-nucleotide ribosomal RNA is filed under the name uncultured Oscillospiraceae bacterium. RNAcentral describes it as "partial 16S ribosomal RNA". Lineage: Bacteria; Bacillati; Bacillota; Clostridia; Eubacteriales; Oscillospiraceae. The record is from RNAcentral.
GGAGUUUGGUCCGUGUCUCAGUACCAAUGUGGGGGACCUUCCUCUCAGAACCCCUACUGAUCGUCGACUUGGUGAGCCGUUACCUCACCAACUAUCUAAUCGGACGCGAGGCCAUCUCUCAGCGGAUUGCUCCUUUGACCCCAUCCGGAUGCCCGGUCGUGGUCUUAUGCGGUAUUAGCACCUAUUUCUAAGUGUUAUCCCCCCUCUGAGAGGUAGGUUCCUCACGUGUUACUCACCCGUUCGCCACUAACUUUAUUUCUUCGUCCGCCGAAGCCUCAGUUUCCAUAAAGUCCGUUCGACUUGCAUGUGUUAGGCGCGCCGCCAGCGUUCAUC